RNAcentral lists this ribosomal RNA (506 nucleotides) under uncultured Oscillospiraceae bacterium. RNAcentral describes it as "partial 16S ribosomal RNA". The record is from RNAcentral. Lineage: Bacteria; Bacillati; Bacillota; Clostridia; Eubacteriales; Oscillospiraceae.
CACGUAGUUAGCCGGAGCUUCCUCCUCUGCUACCGUCAUCAUCUUCACAGAGGACAGAGGUUUACAAUCCGAAAACCGUCUUCCCUCACGCGGCGUUGCUGGUUCAGGGUUUCCCCCACUGACCAAUAUCCCUUACUGCUGCCUCCCGUAGGAGUCUGGGCCGUGUCUCAGUCCCAAUGUGGCCGUCCAACCUCUCAGUCCGGCUACCGAUCGUCGGCUUGGUGGGCCGUUACCCCACCAACUACCUAAUCGGACGCGAGCCCAUCUUUCAGCGGAUUGCUCCUUUGAUUAUCCUACCAUGCGAUAAGAUAAUGUCAUGCGGUAUUAGCGUUCGUUUCCAAACGUUAUCCCCCUCUGAAAGGCAGGUUGCUCACGCGUUACUCACCCGUCCGCCACUAAGAUAUCCAAGAUUCAUUACCGAAGUACUUCAUCAGCGAAUAUCUCCGUUCGACUUGCAUGUAUUAGGCACGCCGCCAGCGUUCGUCUGUAGCCAGGAUCGAAACUCU